UACGGGCCCCAUUGAAGAGAAAGUCUCAUGAGCACAGCUGAUGUUGAAAAGCUCCUGUCAUAUCUCAUCCUGUUUUGCGGCAGCAAGUCACCGUACUUUCCCUGAGGGCGGGGCCCUGCACCCAGUGGAGUGGCGCCUUGCUGUCCUCUCGUGACUGACUUUGGCAUGGAUUGGACUACUGCUCCGAGCUCGGGGCCUGAUGGGACGGUUUCCGGGGGCCUCUGGAGAAGACGCCCAUUCGCCGACGUGUGAAGCCUGCAUCUGACACCAGCAAUGCCCUUGUGGUGCUCCAUCAGAUCCUCAUGAUGUGAUGGUUUCAUCCCUUCCCACCACCCCGCUGCCUGGUCCUACUUGACAGUGAACCUGUCUCCAGUUACUCUCCUUGGAUGUUGGAGUCAUAGCCAAUGGAUGGCGUGAAUGGAGAGGGGCUCCCAGAUUAGCCAUCGGGGGCCUGUACACCUGGCUUGGGGCACAGCAGCAAGGUCUGGAGCAUCUCUGUCCAGCCGAGACUCAGUUUUCAUUUCUACCCCGUGCCCCUGGGAAAUGAAAGCACAAAAGCCUCUUUUCUGAAGCUUCUGACCUGCUUUCUCCUGGGGAAGAGUGUUUGGUCCAGAAGAAGCUGGGAAUACUCCCCACGACACCACACCCGGGAUAAGUGUACAAGUUAAUGCUUUUACUUAAUUACGGAGUUGUGCAGCCACUACCUGACGCCGUUCCCAUUGCCCCAGACAGUUCCUUUGGGCACUUUUAUAGUCAGAACCUCCUCCCACCCCCCAG
Vicugna pacos (alpaca) is the source of this 777-nucleotide non-coding RNA. Lineage: Eukaryota; Metazoa; Chordata; Mammalia; Artiodactyla; Camelidae. The record is from RefSeq and is a predicted model, not a curated record.